GAACAACACAGGGGGAGCAUACAACAGGGACGAACAGAGGAAACCAGGGGAGAAGAAGGAAGACCGAGGGAGCGAAGGUAAUACAGACAGACCAGAGGAGAAAAUCACAGACCAGAGGAGAAAAUCACAAGGAACGAACAGACAGAAAGACGAAGAAGAAGAGGCACAGAACAGAAGGCGAGAGAACAGGACGAACAACACAAGAAUACCAGGAGACAAAUACAGAGAAAGAACAGGCGACCCAAGAAAGUGAAAGACGAGAAGAAGCAGAGGAGAGAGUUUCUUUUCGGCAAGCAACCUCACGCCUUCAUCGCCAUCAUCCUCGACUUGCAGCGACCAGGUAAGUUCUUCAUUUCCCUCUCCUUUACAAUUGUAAUUGCAUAGGUACUGUUCAUAUGCAGUUUUAAUUCACUCUUGCGACUUCAGCAAUUGUAAUCCUGUGGCUGGGUGUGCACGCGUGCCUUAUCCUUUUAUUUUCACCCUCAAUGUUCUUAAAAAUCUUACUCUACAUGAAAAAAAUAAUAUAAACUCGAAAUAAAAAAAAAUAAUAUAAACUUGAAUCAUAAAAUUAUAAAAAUAUAACUAAAAUUUUUAAAAUAAUUAUAGAUUAACAAUUUUAGUCAUGAAAUUAAAUUAUAUUAAAAUUUAAUAAAAUAAGUCAACAAUAUUAUAAUCAAUGAGUAAUAUAAAUAAAAUAAGAGAAAUAAAUAGUAAGAAUCAAUAAAUUAAUGAGAUGGAGAAAUAAAAAGUUUCAGAACAAAACUUCUUAAUAUAUGAAUGAUAGGAAGUAUACAUGAAUCUGGUGAUAACUUGGUUGUUCUCAUCUCAAUAAGUCCUAAUGGACCUCUUUCGGGUUGCAAGCUAAUGAACUUAAAGUAGUAAUUAACUAAUAUAAAUUCAAUAAUAAAAUAAAUCUGUAAACAAUAUCUAAUGCACUAGAAAAAAAAAUUCAAAUUCAAAAUAAUUAUUCAAAAAUAAAUAAAUAAAAUAAUAAAAAAAAGUCUUCAUGUUAAAAUUCCUCUAUGUAUUUGCGAAUCUCCAAUUUUUGCAUAUAUAUUGGCAGAUUUGAGUCAUGAUUUCAAACAUAUCGUUCUCUCUCGUGUUGAUGAAUUACUGGGCGUACGAUAUAUGGUUGGAAAGCUUUAGAUGUCUAGUUUCCAACCCAACUUUAAUCGUAGCAAAAUUCUACUGGUAGCUUUAGAUAUGUCUCAAACAGUACAUAAAGGUCUAGCUUGACAUAUUUGACAAGAUUCAUCUACUAACUUUGACCCUCUGAAAUAUUAUGUUCUCAAACUCCAUUUGACUUGAAAAUUUACGAAAAUAUAUAUUCAUGUGUUUAAUAUUUCCCUAUAAAAUUUUAGCUUUAUCCAAUAUACAAAGUGAAAGAUAUGUCAAAUCUCACAAAACUAGUCAGUAGAUAUUUUAAGACCAAAUUUGGAUCUGACUUGGUUCAGAUCACAAAUGUAGUAAACUCAUAAAAUCAGACUGAGUUUACCGAGUUUACUGAUUUUAACAUUUUUGCACAAGUUAGGUAUGACUUUACAAGUUAAAUACAUGUUGACUCAUAAAAUCAUAUAAUUUUAUGAGUUACCUUGUGAUUUUAACAACAAUGUUCACACUCUUUUAUUUUGAUAUCUAGUCAAAUAGGUCUUUUCUGAUAUAAAAAAUUUCCAAAAACAUUUGUGGAUCUUUUUGAAUUUAUUUGUAGGUCCCUUGCAUUUUUUUUAGGUAUUUCACUAUAUUAUUGAUCUGUAGAUUUUUACUGUAAAAUACAAAUCUGCUAUAUGAUAUAUUUAAAUAUAUAUAUAUAUAUAUAUAUAUAGAAUUUUUAAACGUCUGCGAUAAUUAUUAUUAUUAUUAUUGAAAAUGAUGAUGAUUCUAUGAUAUUAAUUACUAAUUAAUAACUAUCCAAUUAGGUAAAUUGAUUAUUCCAUACUAAAUAAAAUUUUUAUCUUUGUUUAUAUAUAUAUAUAUAUGUGACCUAUAUAAACCUACGACAAAUAAUAUCGAUUGAUGGUAAGCUUUCAUGUCUAAUUAUAUCAUAUAUAGGUUUGAAGAGGUAGGGUGAAUGCUGCCGCAAAUGUUACCGUUACUGUCAGCGCCGAAAACUACACGGGACUCUCUUACUUUACUCAAAGCAUCCUCUUCCCCUUUGUUUCUCUCAUCACAUACUCUCUUUUGUGAGAUGCCAAGGAAGUAGGAACAAUGCAUAUACCCUUUCUGCUUAUAAUUAUUAACUAGUCCAAGUUUGGUACUUUCCCAGAAAUAUCAUCUUGAGCUCGUUGUAAUUAUAUUUUAUUAAUAUCUUCAAAGUUAGAAAUUCUAAAAUAUAUAUGAUC
RNAcentral lists this long non-coding RNA (2339 nucleotides) under Populus trichocarpa (black cottonwood). Its description in RNAcentral is "long non-coding RNA (PTRI_LNC004258)". The record is from RNAcentral. Lineage: Eukaryota; Viridiplantae; Streptophyta; Magnoliopsida; Malpighiales; Salicaceae.